UGAGGCCUUAGCUUAAUUAAAGCGGUUGAAUUGCAAUUAACAGAUGUAAAUAAGAGUUUUGCAGGUCU
RNAcentral lists this transfer RNA (68 nucleotides) under Pachydactylus macrolepis. RNAcentral's name for it is "Pachydactylus mariquensis macrolepis tRNA-Ala". It matches the Rfam family "tRNA". From Rfam's summary of the family: Transfer RNA (tRNA) molecules are approximately 80 nucleotides in length. Their secondary structure includes four short double-helical elements and three loops (D, anti-codon, and T loops). Lineage: Eukaryota; Metazoa; Chordata; Lepidosauria; Squamata; Gekkonidae. The record is from RNAcentral.